AAGACUGACCGUUUGGAACUGGAUAAACUUCUUCUUAUCCCUGGAGAAGACCAAUUCUCCCUCUCUGUCAGAAGAGCUCAAUUACCUAUAUCGCUUCAUCAAGAGAUGUAUAAAAGAUAAUGACGAUGACGUCUCACAAGUAUUGUCAGCUUGAAAGAAUUACAGCUCAAUUUUUGAAGAUAGAUGAAGAUGCCCCCCAAAAGAAGUUAGAUUCAUGAAGAUAAUACCUGAUUUCUUUCAUGUAGGUUUCCACUGAAUUACUCAACAUCGAUCCAGCCAAAAUCCCAUGAAAAGGAAGACCCCCUUCACCAGUACAGUUAGAUAAGGACUGGUGAAACACUGAGAUUCCCACUGCACCGAACAAAUAGAAGAGAGAGGAAGAAACUUGCCCCCUCAUCCCAAGCUUACCUGGGAAGAAGUGGCCACUUGGUAGUUGGCCUCUUCAGUGUUGAAGAUGUGAUCCCAUGAUCACAUCUACUGUGAUGUAGUACAUGCUGGUAUUGACAGACUGUUGUGAAUUGGGGUCUUGUGGAAGAUUUAGAUCAUUGGCGGCAGGACUCUGAAGGGCAUUUUAGGACCCUGGUCCCUCCUUGCUCUCUUCUGUUCCCUACGUGAUGUUGUACACAACUUCUACUCGGCUGGACACCCCUGCCAGGCUGUGAUUCCACACCACAGUUCUACUCGGCUGGACACCCCUGCCAGGCUGUGAUUCCACACCACAGUUCCGAAGCAACGAGCAAGUUGGUUAGGGAUUGGAACCCCAACAACUGUUCGCCCAAAUAGGUUUUCUGAGCGGUUGAAUUUUCAGAUCAAGAGUGUAAAUACAGAAAGGUCCAGCCAAUCUGAAGUACAAAGUUAGUGUGAUCAAACGAAACAGUUUGGAAGCCCAAGGCUGGAGCUGCACUGUGGCAUUACCUGCAGCGAGGCAGGCGAGAGAGCUCUUCCUCAUGGUAGCCUGGACUGACAAGAGAAAUGAAUCCAGUGUGAGACUGUGGCAGUCAGAGCAAGCAGCAGCUCGAGGGGCCUGUCAGUGUCUCUGCGUCCAGAGACCUCCAGAAACUUACCGUUAGGCCCAUCUGCUGGCGUCCAGGCGCAUUCCAAGUCCCUGCCAAGCUUCAGAGACUCCAGAUAGUUCUGCAGAAAUACUAACGUGACGGUUUCCCUCGGGACUGCGAAAGAACGGACUUCAGCUCUGGAAAUCCUCCAAGUAAAUGCCCAGCCUACAAGUUCAAGUGCGCUGAGGGGUACCCAUGCCAAUCUGGUAAUUCAAUGCCUUCUCAGCACAGUUCCAGGACUGCUUAUGGCUCUGGUUUUUCUGCCUUCAUUCUCCAAGAAGCAGGUCCUAAUAUACAAUAGACUUUAGGAAUCAGAACGCUUUUGUUCACAUAUUUUUACGGAACAAAAUUUCAUAACAUAGCUGGCAAGAUGGCUCAGCAGGUAAGAGCACUUCCUGGUGACCUGAGUUCAAUGCCCAGGGUACACAUGAAAGAAGGAGAGAACCAAACCCAACAAGCUGUCCUCUGACAUCCGCACUCACAGGUGGCACCGUGUAGUCCCCUCCCCAAACACACGAAGUGAUUAGAUACUUUUAAAAACUCAUAGUUAUUGGAACUUUGAAACUUUGAAGCAUCUCAUUAAGGAAUGAUUUUGCCUGUGUUUUAGGAGGAACUCACAAAAUCUUCCUACCUUUCAUUCUGUUUUAAUCUGUACCAAUUGCUCUAGUCUCUCCUUUUUAUCAAAAGCACAGGAUCAGAUGAGCAUAGCAGAUGAGCAGAUGUGUGCAACGACCAUUGGAGAAUUCAGUAGUAUUCAAAUUCAUGUAAUGUUCAAUUGAUGGUCACGUAAGGCAGUGUAGAAAAAAGAAUAAAUGAUAAGAAAGAUAAAAACAGUUUAUGAAUGAUGGGUAGUAAUACUUCUUUUUUCAUAUUCUUUGUGCUAAUAUUCUUCCAAGUUUCUUGAGUUAAAAGCAAUAUACUAUAUAUUAUAUAUUACAUUAUAUGUUAUAUAGAUAAUAUAUUUAUGUCCCUUGGAAACCUACUUUGAUGACUUUAGCCUUAGAAUUACAUCGGCAAUGAAGCACAUUGCUAUAUCCAAUGAGUGGUGGCCUCAAGGUCCAGGUUUCUUCAGUCUCCUGUUCUUUUUUCUAACUUUCAAACUGCCUCUGUAACUGAAAACUUUAGUUAAAGAACAGAUAAACAGCAACAUAGUGUCAGCAAAAUUUUAUCUGAAUUCAAAUUCUUCUUAAAACCAUAAGACUCUUCCCUGGUUAUUUCAAGAAUGUUAGAAAUCUAAAGCGAGAAGCCAUCAUUUCAAUAUGAUAAUCUGUUUACAGAUGUUUUUUAAACAUAUCAGAAGCCAACUUCAAUAUGAACUAUGCAGUUCGUUGAAUCAUAAGUUGCUAUUGACUUGGGUUUUCAUUUUCAAUUCAUUGCAGAAACUAAGAAAUGCCACAGGCUUGCUAAACAGCAUAACAUAAUGUGUCCACUUGUGGGUUAGUGACAGUGAUUUUCAACGAUGAGGACCUAUAGUAUGACACACAAUACUAACAAUUCAGAAUACAUACAGUUGAGAAGGCAAUUCUUUGACAAAGGUGCUCACACUGUUAACAGAGUCACUUUGUAGCUGGACAACCUGGAGAGUGGGCACUGUUCACUCUCCUUGUGAACACAAUAUAAAUACCACCUCAAGCAUUGUGCACAAGUGCCAUUUCUUCUUAACAUAGUUUAUAAGUGACACUUGGUUGAAGAACUCAUGGGAGUAGCAGGUGUGGUAUUUUCAGAUAAGAGCAUGGUAAUUAGCUACUAAUCCAUUCCACCUGGCUAGAGGCGUCAGGCUGUUCUCUAGCAACGUUUUCCAGGAGAACGGUCUGAGGGUUUGUACACACGGUGUGGAGAUAUGCCUGGCUUUGUCACCAUUUCUUUGCAAGGAUUUCAUAUUUUAAUGUGUACACAUCCAAAGAAUUGCGAUCUGAGAAAAUAAGUCUAGAUAAACUCCCUUAAAACUUAAUGAUUGUUACAUGUUUUAUAAACAUUAAGAUAUUUAACUGAUCCUAGACACAACUGUCAUGAGUUACCUCAUAACUGUCAGGAUAGUUGCUGAGUGGAAAGAAGGAAGAUGACUCACUUACAGUGGGAAACAUAGGAGAUAUCCUUAAAAGUUAAAUAUAACAUUACCAGACAGCCCAGCUAUUCCACUUCCUUCUAAAAAAUCCAAAAAAAAACCAAACAAACAAACAAACAAAAAACAAAAUUAAAGCAAUAAAAUGAAAGCACACCAAAGCAAUGUUUACCUGUUCAUAGCCACAAGACCAUUAUUAACAACACACAAGAGGUGGGAAUAAGACUGUCUGUGGAUGGGUGAGAAGUUAAAACAUAAAGUGGCUUACAAAUACGGUAUUUUUCACCCUGAAAAAUAAGAAUGCUUAUUGCAUGCACAAACAUGGACGAACCUUGAGGACGUAAGGCUGAGUAAAGACAGCUGCAAAAACACAAAUACUAUAUGACCCAAAGCAGAUGUCCCAUCCAGGAUAGUCAAAUUCAUAAAAAAGUAAGUAGAAUGGUAUUUGCUGAAAAUAAAAUAAAGGGGCAAUGAGGGUUGUUUUUAAUGGGUAUGUGGAAGUGUGCAAGAAGAAAAAGUUCUGAGAUUGCAGAACAAUGGGGAUUACUUAAACACUGAACUUAAACUUGUACUUAAACAUGGGUAAGACAGUAAUUAUGUUACAUAUAUAUGUAUAUAUAUAUAUAUAUAUAUAUAUACAGUUAAAAUGUAUGUACAUAUUUACACACAUAUAGUUCCAAUUUUAUAUGCUGUAUCUUGAAAUCUUAACUGAGAAUUCCUGAUUUUGAAAUUGUUUAAUAAUUAGUGUCAUGGCUGGGGAAAAAAAACCAUAAAGCAGAAAUUUUAUCUGACCCAGAGUGCCCUUGUCUCUCAUCUGAUUCUCAAAAGGAAAGUUUUCAGAAGAGGCAAGAAGCUGUAAUUUCAAAGUUUCCCUGGGUAGAAUGCAAGAGCUUUCCUUCUUUCAUAACCCACUGAGUGAAACUCAUUUUAACUUUAAAAUUAUUCAAUGAAUUUAGCUUCUUUAAAGAAACAUCCCUAGGGCAGAAAGAAUGAAAGAGCCAGAGUGGAUGGAGGACAUGAAGGAAACAAAACCGUCCAGCCAAUGCCUGGCCCAACCCGAGGCCCACCCCACGGGAGAAAGCCAGCCCUGAGGCUAUCAGAGGUCCUCUGUGAUGCUUGCAGACAGGAGCCUAGCACAGCUGUCCUCUGAGGAGAGGAGGGAGGGGGCUGGAUCUGGAUGUAAAGUUAAUUAAUUAAUUAAAAGGCACAGAGGAUGGACACGCACAUGAGCUCACACACUGUGUCUGUAUGUACAGGGCCUGCAGGGGUGGGUGUGCUGCACGUGGAUCCCAUGCUGAGAGAAGUGCCCACACCUCCACAUCCCUAACCCUCAUCCUAGCUUCAGCUGAUAAACACCUGUGAAUGAAAAAUUAGUUUUCUGCAAGGAAGUCUCACUGGAAAAACAAACCACUCUUAAGGGUAGGCCACAUGCCAGCAUAUAUUUUAUGGCUUCUGGUUUCAAGUUUUUACGGGAUUCCAGUAUAUGCAAAUGUGUGUGUCUCUCCAUUUAUGCUUCUUGUAAUUUUUAUCUGGCUUUUUCCCUUCUGUUUGUGUUUUUUCCUAUCCUAGCUUUUUUUUUUUAAUUUUUGUUUCAUUAUUUUAUUUUUUAUUAUUAUUCUUUAGAUGCUGUUUGUUUUCUAAAGAGAGACAGAAAGUGUGGAUCCAGAUGGGAGAGGAGGUUGGGGGCCUUGGCAGUGAAGAGGAAGCAUACAUCAGAAUAUAUGGUAUGAAAAAAAUACAUUUCCAAUAAAAGAAAAAAUAGAUGUAGUGCCCGAGCAAUAUCAAAGCAUACAAUACUCAGCGUCUCACAACACACAGCCUCGCCUUUCCAGGCUGUCAGGUUUCCUUGUGUUCCUGGUGUGUGGGCAGGUUAAAAGAUCAUCGUUUUGGAUGAGAAACACAAAACUCUCUUCAUUUUCUACUGCCACAGAUGCUCUUGAAAAGCAAACAUUCGUAAUACUGGGUUUUUCAUAUCAAAGAGGAAGUAGACAAAGCAUCAGAAAAAUUUAGAGACAAGGAUUUACUUGAGGAAAUUAAGAACUGCUGAUUCUGAGCUUCCAGAUAUCCAAGCUAAAAGGGGAAAAUGUGUUGGAUAUCUUUGGCUAAUAGAAUAAAAAAGGCAAACAAGCAAUGUUGUCAUUUAGAUCUGGGUGUUGAUUAUUCUGCCACAUUCUACAUGUCCUGUGUAUGUGGUCUGUCUUCUCAUGCUGAGAAUAUCUCAUCUGAGAACAUCUUCCUGGUUUUCCUGGUUCAUCUUUAAGUCCGUAUGUUCUUGUAAAUGAUUUUUCUAUUCUUAUCUACUCUACUCUAAUUCUUCCAUCUGUUGUAGCUCCUUACUAGCCACAACUUCUUAGUGUCUAGGUGCACCACAGGUGACCUUGUGAGCACUGUUUCUAACCUUGACAAUCCCCUCAAAAUAUCUCAUCAUCUUUACUUUAAACAGGAAGUCUAUGACCCAAUUCGUAUUGCCGCCCCCUCCAUUAAAGCCCAAUAAUUGCUUUGCACUAGCCACUUGCACUGAAGUAUGCUUCCUCCGGAGCUUUCUGAAAGCACUUUGUUCAUUUUCAUGUUUUGCUUUUCUGAUCAUGUGCCUACUCGACGUAAAUGAGAAGAUGCUAGGAUGCUGUCAUUCUGCUCUGCAGUGUAUCAGCUCCUAGAACAAUGCCCUCAGCUACCACCAAUGCCAGAAGCUAUCAGAUGCAUGAUUGCCUGCAUCAAGCAGUGAAUAAAGUCCUUUAAAAAAUACAGCACACGACCCCUGACUUUUCUACCCCAGGCUUUUCCUGCCCCGUUUUGAUAGACAUCACUCUACUGGAAAUUGUAGACACCGAAAUACAGUUUUAAAAGGUAAACGCUAUUAACGACUUAGGAUUCCCUGCCCUUUAACACAGAAAACACAAUUCAAAGGUUACAUAAUAUAGAGAAAGAUACUUAUUGUAAUGAAUUAGCUGGAAACAUAGUUAGGCUGGCAAGGUCAAGGUCUGCAGAGCAGAGUAACAGCCGAAGGCCAGCAUGCAAGGUUGAGAAGACAGCCUUUUCAGGCUCAGACUUCUUAACUCCGGUCUUCAGCUCACUGAAGGAGCCCACGUGCAAUACGGAGGGCACAGGGACUGACUCAAGUGCACAGGCUUAAAUGCAAGUUUCACCCAGAAAUAACCUCACAUGUACACCUGAAUGUUAGAUUCACCUUAACAAAAUAACUUAACUCUGAAGGCCUUCUGAAAUGUAAAAGCUUAGCUGUUCAGUGGACAUUCCAUGCACAGCUGUUUGUUUCCCAUAAGUCUUAGGGAGGGGAGUGAGGUGAAUGGACUGCCAUAAUGACUGGGUUUACUCACAUACAUGCUGUAUAGAUGUGUACAAAACCACAUUGAAACUUUCAUGUGUAACAUGAAAAGAACCCACCCCCCGUCUUUGCACUCAGUGCCACAAUGCUUAUUUGUGGGUUCAAUAUUUUUCUUAAUCAGGCUCCAUUCUCUCUUAUGAGGAUGGCACUCUGCCAGGGAACAGAAGAAUGUAUCAGAACCUUUUUAAUCUAGAUGAGGAAUUGCAAUGCCCAGAGCCUCAGUUUCUUCAUUUCUGAAACUAGUGGAAUAGCUUUGAUGAUGUCACAAUGGGAUGGUGAUGUGACUGACAGGAUAAAAUGAAGCUUCAAGGGCAACUGGUGAGGAAAUUCAGAGAAAGAGAGUUACACAAAGCAGGAGAUAACAGUGAAUUUAAGAGGCAGAAAUGGCUUUGUGUACUCUCACCUCCCACUGGAAUAGCACAACCUGAAUAGAAUAAGAACAUAAUCGGGUGGUUGAAGGUUGCUCUACCAUUGGCAAAGGACACACACAACACACAACACAGCACAACACAACACAAAACAAACAACACCCUACUACCCUACCUGCUGGUCUGGAAACCCUGGCUUCAUUCCUGACUCCUUAGUAGGUGCAAAUAGCUAGCCAAAAACAAACAACAACAACAACAACAAAAAAUUAUCACCUUUUUGAGUAUUUACAUAGGGUGGGAUGAAGUGAGGUUCUUUCAUGCAGGACCAGGCUUCAGAAGACCCAGGCUUCAAACUCAGGGAGGAUGCCUUCUGCAAGCAGUGUUUACAAAUAUCCAAUAGGAAGAUGCCUUGAACAUAACUGGCAUUGGUCGUAUUACUAUAGAUAUAUUACUGAAUGGCACUUAUUGAAACAUUCUUUGUGAUGGAUUCUCAGUAUUGCUGUAACAGACACUAUUAUUAUUCUGUAUAUCACUAAUGUUAUUCAUUGUACUCUGCACAGUAUAUAUUUAGAGUUUUAAUAUUCCCAAUCUUUUGCACCUUCACAAUGUUCGGCUGUUGGUAUAAUGUUCUUGAGGAAUGUAUACAAUUUACCCUUGUUUAUUCAAAUACUGAAUUCUUUACUCCACUAUCUGGUUUCAAUCUGGACAUUGCAUUGUGAUGCUUAUUCUAAGUAUCACCUGUCUCAAGUUUGUGUAAACAUGCCACCAUUUGUUCUCUGUAUUGUCAAUAAAACAACCAGCCAAUGCUGAACAAUGGAGAGAAUAGGGUGAGAAAUCCUGGUCUGGAGGGGAGGAGAAGAAAGUAGGGUGGGAGAAGUCAGAGAGGAGAGAUUGGGAGGAUAGGACUUGGAACCAAGAGGAGAGAUGAACUGGACCUAAGAUAUGACUAAAGAGCAAGUAUAAUGUGGAAAAUCUGAAUGGUAGGAAACUAUGAGGGCUUGGAGGUUAGGAUGGAGUAACUAUUGCCCAGCAUUGUGUUCUAGGUUAAUUAAAUAAACCCUAGUCUUUGUGUGGUGAUUUGGGUAUACAGCUAGUUUAGGAAUAACUGCUGCUUAACUAAAAGAUAAAUCAAUAUUAAAUAUUUAUAAACAACAACACUCCACAUUUCUAAAUGGAACACUCUUCACUUUUGCAUGCCACUGAUGUUGGCAGUUACAGAAUAUUUUACCACUGUAUACCCAGAAGCAGAACUAACAGCUUUGAAGUCGAUGGCUUGCAUAUUUGAUUGGCUUUAGAACAAUAUUUCUCUUUGUUCUUUUCAUAUUAAAAAUAUCAAAUCAUACUAUUUCUGAACACAAAAGCUACAUGUCAAGCAGCAUUGUGUCAAACAUGAAAAGAUGUAAAACUUUCAGCUCUAUGCUUGAACACGCAUGACUUUAAUGCUUUCUUACAUAUAAUGCCAAGUUUGUGCUCUCCACACUUUCCAUGUGAAAGAUCUGUUUCAGCCAACCACUCCACCCGCUGGAGCCCUUCACUGCAUUGGUGUGGUAGAAAUCUGAUACCUAUUUGUAAAAUGGAUGAAAGAUGAAUAUGAGCCAUAUGUGAAAUCAUUUAAUGUCAGCCGUGUAUUCGUAUCACUAGACCAUCAAAAGGAAUAUAGUUAUUUUUUUUAAUUAUCUCUGUGGAAUGUUUAAACCAAAAGAUUUCAGUGGAUGUUCCAUUCUGCUGUGCUUUUGAUUUCUUAGGGCACUUACCAACUCACCAAAUGCUUUCAAUGAAAAUGUUUGCUUUUUUUUUCUUUUGGACAUUUUUUUCUUAUCACCUUCAGGGAAUAGAAUGCCAGCCUGACUCUCUCUGACAGAUCUACCAUGGCAUGUCUACUCUGAUAGAAAAUUCUCCUCCCUGAAGGCUUUGCCUCUCCUGCAAUGAAGACUCCUGAAUACAUGCUGUCAUCAGCAGCUGUGCCUAAGUGUAGACACACAGACGAUCUUGAGCUUUUUUUUUUUACUCUAGAAACCCAAGAAGAUUCUUUAGAUCAGCAGCUUCACCAAAAACAGCAAUCUUUCCCCUAUUUACGGAGGCUGCCCCGUCAUUGUGAUUUUCUUACUUUUUCUUCCUCUCUAUUAAAAAGCAACUGAUUUACUCUUAUAUUUUCAAGGAUGUGUUCAAGUGAUAGAGAUUUUAAAAACUAUGUCACAGGAUUUGACAACAACAGAAGGACAUGUGACUAGAUUAUUUAAAGAGAGAGAAAAGGCAAGCAAGACAGGGAAGGAAAGGUGAAGGAGUAGUGGGUGAUAGACAGGAGUAAGGUGCUUUAAGUACAUCUACCUAUACACUUAUGAAAUAAUCACACCUCGUGAUUAGUAGAAUUAAUACGUUCUAGUGAGAAUGAGUGGGAAACAGUAGGAUGGGAAUAAGAGAUGGUUGACUUUGUGAUGCAGACACGAGUGCCCCAGUCGAUUGCUGAGUAGCCCACAGUGAUCUGGCAGUCCCCAUUUUAGGGGUGCAAUGAGGAGCAGUAAGGAGUCCAUCAACGGCUUAAUUCUGACUAUGCAAUUUUCUCUAAAGCAUUUAUGUAUUUCUUGUUUCAGGGAUAGUAUAUUUAUUAUAGAGAUAUAAAAAUAUACACAUAAUGUACCACUUAGAAAAUUACUACAAAAAUUUUAAACAUUUGUGCAAUAUUUCUAAGUCAAUAGUCUCUCAUGAGCUAGAGGAAUGGCUUAUCACUGAGGAACGCUUGCUACUUAAAUACUGGCACUUCUCUGCUUGCUCCCCUUACAUAAUUAAAUAAUGUAUGUCAAUAAAAGAACUCUUUAGCUACCACAGCCUUUUAUGAAUGGACCAGUACAACAUAACUCUUUGAAGCACAGUUUAUGUUAGUUAGUAACUAAUAAUGUGUAUAUCAUAUAAACAUAGGACAGAAUACAUAUAGAAUGUGACAUUAUAUUUUAUAACUCUUAAGUAUUUGUAUAAAUUUAGAAUCUUUAGGAAUAGUACCUGGAUGUCAUUCUUUGAAUACACAAAAGAUGGAUUUUAACAAAUAAUUAUAAUCUGUAAAAACAUUCAUAUGUAAAUUAUGUAGCUAUUUAAGUAGUUAUUUGCCAUCACAUGUUCUAGUGCUGUCUCAGCUGUUUCCAAAUGAGGAUACAUCAGGAUGGGAAGAAUAGAGACACUGAAAAUUAGCUCUGUAGUCUAAGUCACAAUAUAACUGAGGAUGGAAAACUCACAACUGUAACCCGAGUCUGCCCUGCAUUCUGUAGUACUUUCUGGUACCUUAGGAGAGAAUAGUUAUAUAAGUCUAAGUCAUGGUUGGAGGAUAUACUUUUCUUCUGAAAUGUAUUUUCCUUGAGGAAAACAUCAAAUUUCAAAUAUUUAAUAUGAAAUAUAUGAUAUCAAAUUAAAUAUAUUUUC
Meriones unguiculatus (Mongolian gerbil) is the source of this 10239-nucleotide long non-coding RNA. RefSeq lists it as uncharacterized. The record is from RefSeq and is a predicted model, not a curated record. Lineage: Eukaryota; Metazoa; Chordata; Mammalia; Rodentia; Muridae. The transcript is spliced from 3 exons.